CGCCCCGCGGCGGGGAAGAGGGGGAAGGUGGGCUGCGAGCGGCCGCUCGCAGCCCACCUUCCCCCUCUUCCCCGCCGCGGGGCGAGGCCGCCGGGCGACACUUCAGCACCACAUCGGCCCUGAACAGCAGCGGGAACGGCGGCGGCGGUGCCUGCCCCCCCGCCGUUUGCCUUCCCGCCCUCGCGGUCCCCUCAGGUUGCAGGGAAGAUGUUAUGAUUCCCUUCACCCUUCAGCCGACAAUUUUUGAACUACAGAAAAUGCAGAAGUAAGUUCAUUAACGAUAUCCACCCAAUGAAAUUCAAGAUGUGAAGUGUUUUGACUAGCGCUGUUCAAAUAGAGGAAUCACUCAGGAGUAUAUUGCAAUCAGUGCAUUCAGAUAAGAUCCCAGAGCAUUGGAUUUCCGGAGCAUUGAUUAUAGAUUAGCAUUCUGCUGCUUCAGAAACGGAGUCCGCAGUCCCUGUAUAAAACAGGAGAGCCAACGGAUAGGGAUGGACUCAUGAUGGAGAAGUGAGGAACACCAGAAAAUACGGGUGUGCAGCACAAUCCCCAGUGCCACGGCCAGCUGAGCAUCAGCAAGCAUUUUGCAUGCACCAGAAUAUCACAGUACGCACUUUUUUUCCAGAGGCUGCAUUUUCCCCGUGGCACUGGGGCUUCCCCGCUGCCCCCCAGGACUUCGCCUUGCUGACCGUGCACGGAGCAUUUUUUUUGGCGAAGCUGCAAAUGUGGAAACCUCGUGCGGUCGGUCAAAGCAAAUUCAUUCAAAGUGAAUGAGUGCAUGCCAAGUUUCUUUUUUUUUUUCAUUCUUUUUGGCUGUAUUCACAGAACACAAAUCUGUGUGCAGGAAUGGGAGCCGUGUUUCUAAUUUGGUAUGAAACUUUUAUUCCCACUUGGCGCAGAGCAGUUGUGAGUGAUGGAGGCUGUUCCUAAUCCUCUGCCCUGUGCAUUGAAAAUGUGCUCUGGCCAGCCGGCGCUCUUGGACAUGGAGUAAUUUGCAUUGCGUAGCGAUUUUGGGGAGAUAAAUACAAGGUUCAGUGCUUGUAGGGACAAGGACGUGGCAUCCUUACUGUAUAGUGUGCAACCAGAAAGCAAAGACAGCAGUGAAGCAACACGAAAAGUCUGGAUUUCAGGAGCUUGUUUUACUAGCGAUGGGGAACUACAGGACUUCCAGAUUGCAGAGGAGAGAAGUUGGAAAGCAGUAAGAAGAGCUCUGCACGCUGCCUGCCAGCCUGGCACAGUGGGAACGAGCUCCUGCUCCUUCACCAGCCCGGCUCCACAGAGCAAUUCAAUCCCUUCUGCACCGCUGAACUGAGGAGAGCCGGCAUAGCAUCUUCUCCGAGCUGCUCGGAGCGUGCGUCCCUCCUUACACAGCCAAGACGCUGGUGUGACGCCGUUAAAUAACAGCCUGGGAGAAGAAGCGGGGAGCUGAGCUGCAAGGAAAUGUAUGUAGGAGAGAGAAGGGUCGGGGCGAGGAUAGCAGGGCUGUGAUUAUGUGCCAGAAAUCUGUUUGAGACCCAGGGGCAGCAAGUUACGAUAAGAAAAAGCCUCAUGUGUGGAUGUUAUUCCUCUGUUGGGGAUGCACCUCUUGCAUCACCCCAGGCCACGAGCCAGGCAUUUUCAUGUGCCACCUGCAAGCGCAUCGCGCAGAGAGCAAGGCAUGCCGAUGGGCAUGUCCUGUGUGCCCACAGGACCCUCUGAAUUACCAAGCCGAUGGGUUUGCUGCCUGACCCACUGCUCUUCACCGCUCCCACUGGCCAGAAAACACCACACGGAGUGAGGGGCUCGAAGCGAUGCCAGAGCCGGGGUGGGAGGGGAAGGCGCCCACGGAGAUGCAGGGUCUGACAUGGGGCAUCUCCCGGGGGUGGGAGCCGCCCGGCCUGGCUGGCAUGUGUGUGAUGCUGGUUUCCAUGGAAACCCAGCAAAAGAUGUGCUGCCAGCGAGGCAGCAUGGACCACUGCAUGGCCUCUAGUCCCCACUUCGGUGGCAGAGGAGGGGACCGUAGGGCAGAGGGAACAUGUGGACUUGCUUUGGGGUGAGCUACCCUGGAGCACGUGCCCCGUGUUGUCUUUGGGGGUGCUGCUGUGUGCUGUGCUGCCCUUUGGGAGUGCUGCCCUGGAGGGAGAGGGAGGUCGCUGUGAUUUAUUCCCCACUUGGGGUGUGCUGGGGAAUUGCAGGGGUGUCCCAUGGGGUUUCGGAGGGGUGGUGGGGGCACCCUGGGAAUGCAGAGGGAAGCCCUGACACGUCCCUGGGAUGCUCAGGCCCUGGCUGAGAUUGGAGCAGGGCCCAGACAGGCUCCCCGGGCUAUCAAGGAGGAGAAGUCAGGCUGCUUCAUGGGUUUUUCAGGGUGUCUCUGUUUUUCCUUCCUCUAAGGGCUGCUCAGAUUUUAAUAUUUCAUUAAAUUGCAUUGCAAUUUUCUCUCCAUGGCCAACAGAGAGAGCACAGCAUCUCUAGGAGGUGAUUCAUCCUGUCCGGAGGCAGGUAGCGAGACCCAUGUCCUAGAUAUCUCCAUCGGCCCUGGUGCAGGCAAGACAUCCACCUCUUGGAGAUGCAAUGUCCCAAGCCCAAAGGCUUUGAGCUGCCCAUGCCAAUGCAGUGCGGGAGAUGCAGCAAAAAAAGGGUGGAGGGGAUUUCUCCUGCCUCAUUUCUGCUGCAAAGCUUCGCAGCUGAACUGCUCUCAUAGAAGGCAGCUUGGGUUGGUGGAGGAAGGAGGGAGGCAGGAUUUGGCCCACAGGGUCAUGUCCCCCCACGCUGGGCAGCUGGAAGCCGAUGGCCACAGAUGGGAUCAGUCACUCUGGGCUUAUUUUAUUGUCCCAGGAGGAAAGUGGUGUGAAUCAGCGCAUCUGAACACAGAGGUGUGCUAAGGUGGCUGCUGUACCUUGUGCUGCCUGGGGCUCUCUUCUGGCUACAUGCUUUACAAGGGACCACGGGGCUUGGGGGUAGAAAUCCAACUUUUAGGCACUGAGAGUUAGCUGAGCUGAGCCUAUGACCAUCCUGCACAGCCAGAGUGCAGCACCCAGUUGCACUACAAACAGGUGCAUCAUGUCCUAAAACCAGAAAGUGAACUGCCAGGAGGAGGACCCCAGGCAUCAUGACACCCAGCCCAGGGAUCUCACUGCUUCGCCCACCCUUCCUUAGAAACCUGGGCUCCUCCUGCCCCCCUAUGCUGUACAUCCCCCUCUCUCUGUGUCCUGGGGCUUGAUCCUCCCAUUCCCUAGGACUGCUGGUUCCCAGUGGAAAACCUGCCUGCAGGGAGCGGUACCCGCUCUGACACCCGCCAGUGUCCGCAAGGAAGGAGAGCACCUAACAAGGAUGCUCUUCAAGGUCGUAAUACGGAGUAGAUGCUCUGUGCUAGUGUUAAAUUACGUGUCAGUGCAGAGGCAGCACUUCCAGCAGGUGAGGGCUGGGAACGCUGGUGUCACACACCACUGGGCCAGCCGGGGCGUGCGGGGAUGGUGAAGCUGUGGCCGUGCCCGUGCCCGUGCUCUUGGCUUGGUGGUGCUGCCUUUCCUGGGGUCUCCUCCAGCCCCGUGCUAGGACCAGGGACCAGAACCAGCCUGGCAAUGCAUUCGUUCGCCAAGAGCCUCAGCUGCAGAACGGGGCUCAUCUUCAUCCUCCUCAAUACUGUUUCCCUCUAUCCCAGCUGAGUGCCCUAGUUGCAAGGCUGUUAGCUAGGCUGGAAGGGGCUUUGCUUGUUCUGUGAAAAAUGGCCAUGAUGCAGCUGUCAUAUGCAAUGGAAUUUUUUUUAAGUAUUUUCUGGGUGGGAUGCGAUCUUUUCCCCAACUCCAGCAGAACUUCCUCAUUCCUCCCGCCCUCCACCUGAGGAUGCUAGGAGGCUUUCAGCCAUCUCUCAGCCUUUGCUGGCAUAACUCCCAUCACGCCGGUGCUUGUGGGCAUUGGUUUCAGUGCCCAGAUUUCCAUCAGCUGUGACCACAAGCUUAGGCAUCUGACAACUGGACAGGAGAGAGUUUUGAGGAAAAUAACAUUGAUGUAGGUGAAUGCAGAUGACGGCUGGCUCUGCAUGUCCUAGCUCCUGGUGGGUUUCUUUGAGUUCAGGAUGGCAAAUCACUCAAGACCACGUACAGCCCGGGCUGCAAUGCUGGCGACCUCUGAUGAGCCCCCUGCUCAAAUUAAUCAUCCUGCUCGGAGCAGACAAGGAGCAAUGAAAUGGGCUGUGGGAGAUGCACUUAGCUCAAACGAGUGUGAGUGACACAUGGGGCCCAGGCAUCUCCUCAGCGUUGCUUGUGUGGUUUGUCUUUGGAGGUAAAGCAGAGCCGUGUGGCUAAUUAAAUGGAAACAUAAUCUCCUGACCUUUUUUGGGUUUCUCAGCUAAUCCCGAUUCAGCCCUUGCAAUGCCUUUCAGAUUUAAGGCAAGGGCACGGCUCCCCAGGGAAAACCAAACCACGGGGAGGAGAAAGGCAGCUCUCCUUGGGAUGCUGCCCACAGCCUUUGGCAGAUUUUGGGGUCCGCCCUUCCCCAACAAGGACGGACCCAGGAGGGCCCAUAGGGUCCGAGCCGUGGUGCUGGGCUGGAGAGGGGGCAGGCACCCCCCGCAUCCCCCUGCGGCUCGGCUCUCCCCAGAGGGCAUUGCAGAGAAGGGAAAGAAGUGAGCGGAGAGACUCAGAUUACAAAUGUACAAGCAUAGGAAGCAGAGAUAUAUAUUCCCUGGAUAUUAAUUGCCUCUAAAAUGUUGUCUUUCUUCCGGUAAGCGGGUACUUCAGGCAACUGGAUAUAUGAUGGAAAGGAGACUGUGUCCGGUGGUGGGAGGACAGACACGGUGAGAGGCAGCUGGACACCCCUGAAGGGCUGGGGGCUGUGUGUGGCUGGUGGCCAGCCCAUCGCUAGAGCAUCCCAACGGCCCUUCGACGUGCUUGUCACCCACCCUGUCCCCAACGGGGACACUGCCCUCAGACACUGCCCUCUGCUAUGAUUGUGAAGACUAGUCUGGCUUGGGACUCGUCCCUUGCUGGGCACACUCGGUUUGAGAGCUUAGUUCAGAAGGAAAACCCUGCCAAGCUUGGAAACUCUUGGGUUUAAACAAGAAUAUGUCCCAAAAAAGUGCCAUAGAGCAUCGUGGUCUGUUCUCAACCAGGGAAGGGGCACCAUAUAUCCCAGCACGCAGGGGCAAGGGGCAGUGGCUGGACAGCAGGAUGCUGCUGGGAAUAGCCACCACGAUGUAAGUGGAGAUGUCCGUCACAUCAUCAGCCUGUGAAACUUAAAUACAAGGAGUCACUGAGGAAGAUAUUUUGGGGACUACAUUGAAAAUAAGGGUUAAGGUUUCUUUUUUCCUGUGGUUUGGAGUGAUGUCUCUGCGCAGACAUUGCUGCAAGGCUCAGAUACCCUCAACUGGGCUCUGGGAUCAAAGCUGCAGUUUGGGGGAGGAGGGCUUAAUAUGGCAUAAAAUUGCUUCUGCAGAGGGCUAACGUGCCAGCCGGUUCCAGGCAAGGCUGGCCCAGCUGCUGCUGCUGUUAGGAGGAGCAGGAGGAGGCAGACCCCAGCGUGCGAGGGCUCUCCCACCAAUACUUUAGUACAGAGUGACAGGAAAACCAGCAACGCGCCUUCCCAAAAUGUCAAAGCCUUUUGUUCCACUGUUUUCUAAGCAAAACGCUGCAAAUGUUGGCCUUGAACUGACUUUUGGUCACGAAAUUACCUCUCCUCAAUUAAAUAUUAAAACCAAACAGAAAGUCCUGAGUGUGGAAUGAAUUGUUUCACUCCAACUAUGGGGAUUAUUUUCUUUUUUACUUCAGUGGAAAAACUGAAAACCCAGUGUCACAUUGGCUCACCCUGAAAUGAAUUUUUAUUCUGGCUUCCUAUCAUUAAACGUCAGCAAAUGAAGAAAAGCAAUUAUUUGAAGAGCAUUUUUUGACAUGAAAAGACGUCUCCCCAUCACCACCUCUGCUGGGAUUUAGGUAGUUAUUUCUUUAUGCUGGGUCUAGGGAAGACUCAUGCAUAAUGCUAGACCAUAGUUGGGCUCCUGCUACCCCUGUAGAGAGCCUGCGGCAGGUUCCCCAUGGAUGCCAGUCUCUUGGU
Long non-coding RNA from Aquila chrysaetos chrysaetos, 6024 nucleotides. RefSeq lists it as uncharacterized. The record is from RefSeq and is a predicted model, not a curated record. The transcript has 3 exons. NCBI's taxonomy places the organism in Eukaryota, Metazoa, Chordata, Aves, Accipitriformes, Accipitridae.